This 429-nucleotide ribosomal RNA is filed under the name bacterium. RNAcentral's name for it is "partial 16S ribosomal RNA". It matches the Rfam family "Bacterial small subunit ribosomal RNA", at positions 355 to 776 of the family's 1533-position model. The record is from RNAcentral.
UGGGGAAUCUUCCGCAAUGGGCGCAAGCCUGACGGAGCAACGCCGCGUGAGUGAAGAAGGUCUUCGGAUCGUAAAGCUCUGUUGAUGGGGACGAACGUGCCUAAUGCGAAUAGUAUUAGGUAAUGACGGUACCCAUCGAGGAAGCCACGGCUAACUACGUGCCAGCAGCCGCGGUAAUACGUAGGUGGCGAGCGUUGUCCGGAAUCAUUGGGCGUAAAGGGAGCGCAGGCGGGCAUGUAAGUCUUUCUUAAAAGUGCGGGGCUCAACCCCGUGAUGGGAAAGAUACUAUGUGUCUUGAGUACAGGAGAGGAAAGCGGAAUUCCCAGUGUAGCGGUGAAAUGCGUAGAUAUUGGGAGGAACACCAGUGGCGAAGGCGGCUUUCUGGACUGCAACUGACGCUGAGGCUCGAAAGCCAGGGGAGCGAACGGG